RNAcentral lists this long non-coding RNA (743 nucleotides) under Mytilus galloprovincialis (Mediterranean mussel). The record is from RNAcentral. Lineage: Eukaryota; Metazoa; Mollusca; Bivalvia; Mytilida; Mytilidae.
CAAUAUUGAUGGAACUAUACCAUAAUGUUAACCACCAAAUGAAGAUUUGCUUUUUGGGGGUGGCACUUUCAAGAUGGCUGCCGUUACCAUGGAAACGAAACAAAUGUGAAAAAAUCCAGUUUUUUGUUUUGGUGAACUAGUUGGAUACUAUUUAACUCAGAAUCAUUAUAUUUUAAUACAAUGUAGGUGCCCACUAUAUACAGGUGUUGGAUGAUUUUGGCACUCAUUGGAACUACUAUGUUGCCAUGGAAACUACUCCAAAAAAUUCAAAAAUCUCAAAAUGUUCCAAACUUAAUGAAACUUCACAGUAACGAUGAGCAACAUUGGAAGAUGUGGAAUUUGGCGUUGGAAUUUCCAAAAUCGCUGUUGUUACCAUGGAAACAAUGCAAAAAGGUCAAAACUUUGAAUUUUCACAGAACAUUCUAGAACAUCAAUGUUUAAUUUAUUCUAGAGACAUUAAAUGGUAUAUGAUGAUUAUGGAGGGAAAAAAUUGCAGCGGGGGUUUGACUUUGGAAUAUUCAAAAUGGCCGCCGUUACCAUGGAAACAGCAAAAAUACAAAAAAACUUCAAAAUGCUUCAAAUUUAUUGAAACUUAUAACAAAUGUUGCUCAGCUAAUGUAGACUUGACUUUUGAGUUUGGAAUUUCCAAAAUGGCCGCCGUUACCAUGGCUACCGCUCACCUGGCAAUAGGGGAAGGGUGCCAUCCGCUAUUGCUUGCAAUCGCAAAUCUAGUUAUGUCACCC